This is a ribosomal RNA of Drosophila melanogaster (fruit fly), 2737 nucleotides long. It matches the Rfam family "Eukaryotic large subunit ribosomal RNA". The record is from Rfam. Lineage: Eukaryota; Metazoa; Arthropoda; Insecta; Diptera; Drosophilidae.
CAACCUCAACUCAUAUGGGACUACCCCCUGAAUUUAAGCAUAUUAAUUAGGGGAGGAAAAGAAACUAACGAGGAUUUUCUUAGUAGCGGAGAGCGAAAAGAAAACGGUUCAGCACUAAGUCACUUUGUCUAUAUGGCAAAUGUGAGAUGCAGUGUAUGGAGCGUCAAUAUUCUAGUAUGAGAAAUUAACGAUUUAAGUCCUUCUUAAAUGAGGCCAUUUACCCAUAGAGGGUGCCAGGCCCAUAUAACGUUAAUGAUUACUAGAUGAUGUUUCCAAAGAGCCGUGUUGCUUGAUAGUGCAGCACUUAGUGGGUGGUAAACUCCAUCUAAAACUAAAUAUAACCAUGAGACCGAUAGUAAACAAGUACCGUGAGGGAAAGUUGAAAAGAACUCUGAAUAGAGAGUUAAACAGUACGUGAAACUGCUUAGAGGUUAAGCCCGAUGAACCUGAAUAUCCGUUAUGGAAAAUUCAUCAUUAAAAUUGUAAUAUUUAAAUAAUAUUAUGAGAAUAGUGUGCAUUUUUUCCAUAUAAGGACAUUGUAAUCUAUUAGCAUAUACCAAAUAUAUCAUAAAAUAUAACUUAUAGUUUAUUCCAAUUAAAUUGCUUGCAUUUUAACACAGAAUAAAUGUUAUUAAUUUGAUGAAGUGCUGAUAGAUUUAUAUGAUUACAGUGCGUUAUUUUUUCGGAAUUACAUAAUGGCAUAAUUAUCAUUGAUUUUUGUGUUUGUAUGAUUAACAAUGCGAAAGAUUCAGGAUACCUUCGGGACCCGUCUUGAAACACGUACCAAGGAGUCUAACAUAUGUGCAAGUUAUUGGGAUAUGAACCUAAUAGCGUAAUUAACUUGACUAAUAAUGGGAUUAGUUUUUUACCGAUUUAUAGCUAAUUAACACAAUCCCGGGGCGUUCUAUAUAGUUAUGUAAAAUGUAUAUUUAUAUUAUUUACGCCUCUAACUGGAACGUACCUUGAGCAUAUAUGCUGUGACCCGAAAGAUGGUGAACUAUACUUGAUCAGGUUGAAGUCAGGCGAAACCCUGAUGGAAGACCGAAACAGUUCUGACGUGCAAAUCGAUUGUCAGAAUUGAGUAUAGGGGCGAAAGACCAAUCGAACCAUCUAGGAGCUGGUUCCUUCCGAAGUUUCCCUCAGGAUAGCUGGUGCAUUUUAAUAUUAUAUAAAAUAAUCUUAUCUGGUAAAGCGAAUGAUUAGAGGCCUUAGGGUCGAAACGAUCUUAACCUAUUCUCAAACUUUAAAUGGGUAAGAACCUUAACUUUCUUGAUAUGAAGUUCAAGGUUAUGAUAUAAUGUGCCCAGUGGGCCACUUUUGGUAAGCAGAACUGGCGCUGUGGGAUGAACCAAACGUAAUGUUACGGUGCCCAAAUUAACAACUCAUGCAGAUACCAUGAAAGGCGUUGGUUGCUUAAAACAGCAGGACGGUGAUCAUGGAAGUCGAAAUCCGCUAAGGAGUGUGUAACAACUCACCUGCCGAAGCAACUAGCCCUUAAAAUGGAUGGCGCUUAAGUUGUAUACCUAUACAUUACCGAUAAAGUAGAUGAUUUAUAUUACUUGUGAUAUAAAAUUUGAAACUUUAUUGAGUAGGAAGGUACAAUGGUAUGCGUAGAAGUGUUUGGCGUAAGCCUGCAUGGAACUGCCAUUGGUACAGAUCUUGGUGGUAGUAGCAAAUAAUCGAAUGAGACCUUGGAGGACUGAAGUGGAGAAGGGUUUCGUGUGAACAGUGGUUGAUCACGAGUUAGUCGGUCCUAAGUUCAAGGCGAAAGCCGAAAAUUUUCAAGUAAAACAAAAAUGCCUAACUAUAUAAACAAAGCGAAUUAUAAUACACUUGAAUAAUUUUGAACGAAAGGGAAUACGGUUCCAAUUCCGUAACCUGUUGAGUAUCCGUUUGUUAUUAAAUAUGGGCCUCGUGUUCAUCCUGGCAACAGGAACGACCAUAAAGAAGCCGUCGAGAGAUAUCGGAAGAGUUUUCUUUUCUGUUUUAUAGCCGUACUAUCAUGGAAGUCUUUCGCAGAGAGAUAUGGUAGAUGGGCUAGAAGAGCAUGACAUAUACUGUUGUGUCGAUAUUUUUAUCCUCGGACCUUGAAAAUUUAUGGUGGGGACACGCAAACUUCUCAACAGGCCGUACCAAUAUCCGCAGCUGGUCUCCAAGGUGAAGAGUCUCUAGUCGAUAGAAUAAUGUAGGUAAGGGAAGUCGGCAAAUUAGAUCCGUAACUUCGGGAUAAGGAUUGGCUCUGAAGAUUGAGAUAGUCGGGCUUGAUUGGGAAACAAUAACAUGGUUUAUGUGCUCUUUCUGGGUAAAUAGAGUUUCUAGCAUUUAUGUUAGUUACUUGUUCCCCGGAUAGUUUAGUUACGUAGCCAAUUGUGGAACUUUCUUUCUAAAAUUUUUAAGAAUACUAUUUGGGUUAAACCAAUUAGUUCUUAUUAAUUAUAACGAUUAUCAAUUAACAAUCAAUUCAGAACUGGCACGGACUUGGGGAAUCCGACUGUCUAAUUAAAACAAAGCAUUGUGAUGGCCCUAGCGGGUGUUGACACAAUGUGAUUUCUGCCCAGUGCUCUGAAUGUCAAAGUGAAGAAAUUCAAGUAAGCGCGGGUCAACGGCGGGAGUAACUAUGACUCUCUUAAGGUAGCCAAAUGCCUCGUCAUCUAAUUAGUGACGCGCAUGAAUGGAUUAACGACGGACGUGUUUUCGUUGCGCUCGUGGACAUAGUGCGAAGAACUUUGUUUUCCGU